UGGGGCAUGAAGGGGGCUUUACUGGUUUUGGAUGGGCUCACGGCCUAUCAGCUUGUUGGUGGGGUAAUGGCCUACCAAGGCGACGACGGGUAGCCGGCCUGAGAGGGUGACCGGCCACACUGGGACUGAGACACGGCCCAGACUCCUACGGGAGGCAGCAGUGGGGAAUAUUGCACAAUGGGCGCAAGCCUGAUGCA
This 197-nucleotide ribosomal RNA is filed under the name uncultured Kocuria sp. Its description in RNAcentral is "partial 16S ribosomal RNA". It matches the Rfam family "Bacterial small subunit ribosomal RNA", at positions 194 to 390 of the family's 1533-position model. The record is from RNAcentral. Lineage: Bacteria; Bacillati; Actinomycetota; Actinomycetes; Micrococcales; Micrococcaceae.